CAGCAGCCGCGGUAAUACGAGGGCCCCAAGCGUUAUCCGGAUUUAUUGGGCGUAAAGCGUCCGUAGGUGGUUUAUCGCAUCUCCUGUUAAAUCUCGAGGCCCAACCUCGAGUCAGCGGGAGAGAUGGCUAAACUAGAGACUGGAAGAGGCCAAUGGAAUUGCUGGUGUAGGGGUUAAAUCCAUUAAUAUCAGCAAGAACACCAAAUGCGAAGGCAAUUGGCUAGGACAGUUCUGACACUCAGGGGACGAAAGCGUGGGGAGCGAAUGGGAUUAGAUACCCCAGUAGUCCACGCCGUAAACGAUGGAUACUAAGCAUUGGCAGUAUCGACCCUGCCAGCGCUGUUAUUUUAAGGUAACCCGUUAAGUAUCCCGCCUGGGGAGUACGAGCGCAAGCUUAAAACUCAAAGGAAUUGACGG
Molecule: ribosomal RNA, 417 nt
Filed under: uncultured bacterium
Lineage: Bacteria
Description: bacterial SSU rRNA
Rfam family: Bacterial small subunit ribosomal RNA
Source: RNAcentral